GUGGAGAAGGAGUGGUUGGGUGGGUCACCUCCCUCAUACCAAAAGACCAUAUAGUGCAAGGGCAUUGUGCGAUGUGAAGGAUGAUAUGCAGAGUUUCAAUUGAGUCCUGGAUGAUUCGGAGGAGGUUUGAGGACUCAAUUGAACCAGCUAGUAAGAGAGAACUAUGUCACACAUCAGGAUCACAAGAAUCAGACUGUGUGGAUGGCUUUUUGGGAUUAGGAUCCGUUGUGACGUGAGUAUUAACAGGAUGGCCUAGUAGUUGUGUUUUGAGGACAAAAAGAGUCACGAUU
This 290-nucleotide long non-coding RNA is filed under the name Physcomitrium patens. RNAcentral's name for it is "long non-coding RNA (PPAT_LNC008317)". The record is from RNAcentral. Lineage: Eukaryota; Viridiplantae; Streptophyta; Bryopsida; Funariales; Funariaceae.